GUGCUUGCUUCAGCAGCAUAUAUACUAAAAUUGGAACGAUACAAAGAAGAUUAACAUGGCCCCUGCGCAAGGAUGACUUGCAAAUUUGUGAAGCGUUCCAUAUUUAA
Small nuclear RNA from Suncus etruscus (white-toothed pygmy shrew), 107 nucleotides. NCBI's taxonomy places the organism in Eukaryota, Metazoa, Chordata, Mammalia, Eulipotyphla, Soricidae. The record is from RefSeq and is a predicted model, not a curated record.